Molecule: long non-coding RNA, 776 nt
Organism: Solanum pennellii
Lineage: Eukaryota; Viridiplantae; Streptophyta; Magnoliopsida; Solanales; Solanaceae
Exons: 3
Source: RefSeq, a predicted model, not a curated record
UUUAUUGGCCAAAAAAAGAAAAACUAAUAAAUCAUUAGAAAACUUUUGUUCUGUGUUCUUUCCUAGCAAGCUGAAAUUAGAACAGACGCUACUAUACUCUUCUUUCCUAACUGAAAAUAUACCAUUUCUCUUCUCCAUGACGUAAAAUCAAAGAGUAGAAGCUGAAGAUCGAAGAGAUGAAGUUGAUGACUGAAGCACUAAGCUGAAAAACGGAAGAGCUGAGUUGAUUCUUUUCUCUAAAACCCAAUUUUCUCGAAUAGAUGAAGAAUUGAUUCUGACGAAGAUCGAGGAAGAGAAGAUCGAAAAGCUGAAGAGUGGAAGCUAAGUAACCGAUUUCGUCAAGUGUAAGUACCAAUUUUGUAUAGCCGAUUGAGAAGGUGAUAUUUCAUCCGCUUGCGCUUUUGAGCAUCACAGAUAACAACAAUAGAGUUGCAAGAGACACAAGGAAACAUGUUGUUGGGUCUUUCUUGGAACUUAAUUUAAAGGCAUUGUUGAUGUUACAAAUUGGAAUGGAGGAUGGCAAGUUACAUUCUUUGGAAGGCAAGCAGGAAACUGCCACUGAAUUAAUUUGAUGAAUAGAGGACAGAAGUAAACUCGAUUUAUAGUGAACGAUAAAGAGUUUUUGUACGAUUAUCAUAAAUUUUGUUUGAAUACAUUUGGUUUUGUGGAAUGUAUUGCUAUUAGAGAUCGUUAAGUAAUUGCUUUCUAUAUGUAUGCAUGGGACAUGUUCUCAAAUGUUAUUUAAUUUGAAAUAUAUACUUUCAAAUUAGGCCUAA